This 71-nucleotide transfer RNA is filed under the name Loxodonta africana (African savanna elephant). It matches the Rfam family "tRNA". From Rfam's summary of the family: Transfer RNA (tRNA) molecules are approximately 80 nucleotides in length. The record is from Rfam by way of RNAcentral. Lineage: Eukaryota; Metazoa; Chordata; Mammalia; Proboscidea; Elephantidae.
GCAUUGGUAAUUCAGCAGUAGAAUUCUUGCUUUCCAUGCAGGAGACCCCGGUUCGAUUCCCAGCCAAUGCA